AUUGAACGCUGGCGGCAGGCUUAACACAUGCAAGUCGAACGAGUGGCGGACGGGUGAGUAAUGCUUGGGAAUCUAGCUUAUGGAGGGGGAUAACUACGGGAAACUGUAGCUACUACCGCGUACCAUAGGAUGAGCCCACGUGGGAUUAGGUAGUUGGUGAGGUAAAGGCUCACCAAGCCGACGCUCUCUAGCUGGUCUGAGAGGAUGACCAGCCACACGGGGAAUGAGACACGGCCCAGACGCCUACGGGAGGCAGCAGUGGGGAAUAUUGCGCAAUGGGGGCAACCUGACGCAGCCAUGCCGCGGGAGUGAUGACGGCCUUCGGGUUGUAAAGCUCUGUUAAUCGGGAGACGGUACCGGAAUAGAAAGCCACGGCUAACUACGUGCCAGCAGCCGCGGUAAUUC
RNAcentral lists this ribosomal RNA (405 nucleotides) under uncultured bacterium. RNAcentral's name for it is "partial 16S ribosomal RNA". It matches the Rfam family "Bacterial small subunit ribosomal RNA", at positions 30 to 526 of the family's 1533-position model. The record is from RNAcentral.